GGGGAUGAUCGGUUUCGACGAUGUGAGUUGCCGUGUGGGAAGCGUGCCGAGGAAGCAAAGUCACCUCGUAAACGCCCUUUGCAACCAAUUAAGUGCCGAUUCUAAACGCACUGACUUCGCUCUCGCUGCCUAAGUAAACCAGCGAACGAGUCCGUCAGCCCAGGCAUCGCUAUCGUCCUGGAUCCUGGCGUCGAUUAGAUAGCCACUGUCUGUCGCCCCUGUCGGGGGAAGUGACAGAGACCUGAAACCGACUAGACCUAACAGUUGCUGGUCUGUGAGCCAACUGAGGUCGAUAAAACUCCGAGCAGACUGCGCACGGAGAAGCCUAGCGAAAGCCACAUCGGACCCGGGUUCAAUUCCCGGCAUCUCCACGC
RNAcentral lists this transfer-messenger RNA (374 nucleotides) under Micrococcaceae. Its description in RNAcentral is "Yaniella excrementigallinarum Standard tmRNA". It matches the Rfam family "transfer-messenger RNA". Rfam says of the family: Bacterial tmRNA, also known as 10Sa RNA or SsrA, is named for its dual tRNA and mRNA-like properties. Its role is to liberate the mRNA from a stalled ribosome. Lineage: Bacteria; Bacillati; Actinomycetota; Actinomycetes; Micrococcales. RNAcentral also lists the same sequence under 1 other name. The record is from RNAcentral.